Long non-coding RNA from Carcharodon carcharias (great white shark), 780 nucleotides. RefSeq lists it as uncharacterized. The transcript is spliced from 3 exons. NCBI's taxonomy places the organism in Eukaryota, Metazoa, Chordata, Chondrichthyes, Lamniformes, Lamnidae. The record is from RefSeq and is a predicted model, not a curated record.
CUCAAAGACAGCUGCACUGCCUGGAUCGCACCCGGCCUGAAUCAGAAAGUCAGGCGAGACAGGCAGAGAAGAAAUGUUAGAUAUGCAGCCUGCUUGUUGCCUGUGCAGCUCAUUCUCAAAUGCAGCUUGGCUGAGCACCAGUGCAGCUUAGGUGGAAUGUUGCUUCUCAGGACUGGGAGACAUAGUAAGUAGAUUAACGCUCAUGAUGUGGUAUCCUUGACAUUGGAGAGACCAAUCGCAGACUCGAUGACCGCUUUAAGGGACACCCUCAUUUAAUCCACAAGCAUGACCCUGAGCUUCCCGUGACUUAUCAUGUCAGAUCUCCACCUUGCUCCCACACUGACCUUUCUUUCCUUCACCUGCUGCAGUCUUACAAUGAAGUUCAAUGCAAGCUCAAGGAACAGUGCCUCAUCUUUCAACUAGGCCCUUUACAGUCUUCUGGACUCAACAUUAAGUUCAACAGUUUUAGAUCAUAACCUCUGCCUGCAUUUUGUUUAACUUUGUUCUUUAUUCAUUCACUUUGCAUUGAGCUGGCUGCCAUCCAGCCAUUAACAUCCAAUCUGAACACACCUUGUGUUUCUUUGCUUUCACCAUUACUACACAACCUUUUGUCAUUUAACUUCUCCUACUGUCCACUCUAUCCCAGACCUUCCCUUAUGUUCUUCCCCCUGCCACCCUGACUUUCACUUGAUCAAAACCUAUUACAUUUCUACCUUUGCUCAUUUCUAAUGAAGGAUCAUUGUCAACCCAAAGUAUUAACUCUGUUUCUCUCCACAAAUG